RNAcentral lists this ribosomal RNA (483 nucleotides) under uncultured bacterium. RNAcentral's name for it is "partial 16S ribosomal RNA". It matches the Rfam family "Bacterial small subunit ribosomal RNA", at positions 30 to 506 of the family's 1533-position model. The record is from RNAcentral.
AUUGAACGCUAGCGGGAUGCUUUACACAUGCACGUCGAACGGCAGCGCGGACUUCGGUCUGGCGGCGAGUGGCGAACGGGUGAGUAAUGUAUCGGAACGUGCCCAGUAGCGGGGGAUAACUACGCGAAAGCGUAGCUAAUACCGCAUACGCCCUACGGGGGAAAGCAGGGGAUCGUAAGACCUUGCACUAUUGGAGCGGCCGAUAUCGGAUUAGCUAGUUGGUGAGGUAACGGCUCACCAAGGCGACGAUCCGUAGCUGGUUUGAGAGGACGACCAGCCACACUGGGACUGAGACACGGCCCAGACUCCUACGGGAGGCAGCAGUGGGGAAUUUUGGACAGUGGGGGCAACCCUGAUCCAGCCAUCCCGCGUGUGCGAUGAAGGCCUUCGGGUUGUAAAGCACUUUUGGCAGGAAAGAAACGUCGCGGGCUAAUACCCCGUGGAACUGACGGUACCUGCAGAAUAAGCACCGGCUAACUACGU